ACCCGAAGAUGGUGCGCUAACCUGCUUGCGGGAGGCAGCCAGCCACGGUGGGAUCAGCGACUGGGGUGAAGUCGUAACAAGGUAGCCGUAGGUGAACCUGCAGAAGGAUCA
This 111-nucleotide ribosomal RNA is filed under the name uncultured eukaryote. RNAcentral's name for it is "partial small subunit ribosomal RNA". It matches the Rfam family "Bacterial small subunit ribosomal RNA", at positions 1419 to 1525 of the family's 1533-position model. The record is from RNAcentral.